RNAcentral lists this ribosomal RNA (528 nucleotides) under Stenotrophomonas maltophilia. Its description in RNAcentral is "bacterial SSU rRNA". It matches the Rfam family "Bacterial small subunit ribosomal RNA", at positions 1 to 522 of the family's 1533-position model. Lineage: Bacteria; Pseudomonadati; Pseudomonadota; Gammaproteobacteria; Lysobacterales; Lysobacteraceae. The record is from RNAcentral.
UGGAGAGUUUGAUCCUGGCUCAGAGUGAACGCUGGCGGUAGGCCUAACACAUGCAAGUCGAACGGCAGCACAGAGGAGCUUGCUCCUUGGGUGGCGAGUGGCGGACGGGUGAGGAAUACAUCGGAAUCUACUUUUUCGUGGGGGAUAACGUAGGGAAACUUACGCUAAUACCGCAUACGACCUACGGGUGAAAGCAGGGGACCUUCGGGCCUUGCGCGAUUGAAUGAGCCGAUGUCGGAUUAGCUAGUUGGCGGGGUAAAGGCCCACCAAGGCGACGAUCCGUAGCUGGUCUGAGAGGAUGAUCAGYCACACUGGAACUGAGACACGGUCCAGACUCCUACGGGAGGCAGCAGUGGGGAAUAUUGGACAAUGGGCGCAAGCCUGAUCCAGCCAUACCGCGUGGGUGAAGAAGGCCUUCGGGUUGUAAAGCCCUUUUGUUGGGAAAGAAAUCCAGCCGGUUAAUACCUGGUUGGGAUGACGGUACCCAAAGAAUAAGCACCGGCUAACUUCGUGCCAGCAGCCGCGGUA